UGGGGAAUAUUGGACAAUGGGCGAAAGCCUGAUCCAGCCAUGCCGCGUGUGUGAAGAAGGUCUUCGGAUUGUAAAGCACUUUAAGUUGGGAGGAAGGGCAGUAAGCGAAUACCUUGCUGUUUUGACGUUACCGACAGAAUAAGCACCGGCUAACUCUGUGCCAGCAGCCGCGGUAAUACAGAGGGUGCAAGCGUUAAUCGGAAUUACUGGGCGUAAAGCGCGCGUAGGUGGUUCGUUAAGUUGAAUGUGAAAGCCCCGGGCUCAACCUGGGAACUGCAUCCAAAACUGGCGAGCUAGAGUAGGGCAGAGGGUGGUGGAAUUUCCUGUGUAGCGGUGAAAUGCGUAGAUAUAGGAAGGAACACCAGUGGCGAAGGCGACCACCUGGGCUCAUACUGACACUGAGGUGCGAAAGCGUGGGAGCAAACAGG
RNAcentral lists this ribosomal RNA (428 nucleotides) under Pseudomonadota bacterium. RNAcentral describes it as "Proteobacteria bacterium partial 16S ribosomal RNA". It matches the Rfam family "Bacterial small subunit ribosomal RNA", at positions 355 to 776 of the family's 1533-position model. Lineage: Bacteria; Pseudomonadati; Pseudomonadota. The record is from RNAcentral.